CGGUGGACAAUCCGACCAGGAAAACUUUGGUGAAUUCCUCGAGGCUGUGACCUUCGUGUAAAUGGCAGUCCAGGGAAAUGCUGCGGCACCGGCCAGAUCGCCAUUGCUGGAAGUUGCCCCAGAUCGGGUCGUCCAGAAAAAGGGCGCGGUCCCAAUAAUUAAGGGUGGAUUUAUAGGGCAGGGAAAUGUUCUGCCGCCUUCAAGAUUGCCAAUGUUGGAAGCUGCGACCAACAAAAUUCAAUUCGUGAAUAGUUUGGCUUGCUUAGAACAGAAAAUUGAGGCACUGCAAUCUGGAGUAAAGGAGUCGCAAAAACGGCUGGAAGCAAAAAUUUAAAUACAUGGAUAUAAAUGAAGCGCUUAAGUGCGAAAACCAGAGAUUAAGAGAGUGCUUAAAAACCCGACUAGAAGUAAACGCCUUACCAGUUCAACACAAACACAGACCACAAAACUCCAUUACCACCCACA
Rhagoletis zephyria (snowberry fruit fly) is the source of this 465-nucleotide long non-coding RNA. RefSeq lists it as uncharacterized. Lineage: Eukaryota; Metazoa; Arthropoda; Insecta; Diptera; Tephritidae. The record is from RefSeq and is a predicted model, not a curated record.